Long non-coding RNA from Musa acuminata AAA Group (dessert banana), 362 nucleotides. RefSeq lists it as uncharacterized. Lineage: Eukaryota; Viridiplantae; Streptophyta; Magnoliopsida; Zingiberales; Musaceae. The record is from RefSeq and is a predicted model, not a curated record. The transcript is spliced from 3 exons.
CCAUCAUAUCUGCUCAUGGCUGCAGGCUUUUUUCAAAAAGACGUGUUAAACAAGAUGAGGACUACAACAGAUUCCCAAAAGGAGGUGUUGAACAAAACAAUUCUGUGACUCUACCUAUCAGAACCAACAACAACAUGAACAGCAAGAAACUUAUGGAAAAAUAGCUGGAUUUUAGGCAUAUGCUAUGCAACUUGUCUAUCGGGUGGCCUUACCCUUUUCUGGAUCUUGUUACUCCUUCCUAGGGCGCGCCUCUGGUACUUUGGCAUGGCACUGAUACAUGUCCCAUUAUACGGAUUAUAUUGGUUGAUAGUAAGAGCAAAGAACACGAUUUGGCCAAAAUUCUUUCCAGCUGCUUACUCAAG